Molecule: transfer RNA, 65 nt
Filed under: Binodoxys acalephae
Lineage: Eukaryota; Metazoa; Arthropoda; Insecta; Hymenoptera; Braconidae
Description: tRNA-Leu
Source: RNAcentral
AUUUAAUAUAGCAUAUAUAAUGUAUUAAAUUUAGAAUUUAAAGAAAAAUUUACUUUUAUUAAAUA